AACUGUACAACCCUUCACAGUGCUGACUACUUGAUAGCAGAGGUGGUUCAUGUUGGUUCAGGAUUUGGUUUGAAGCUGUUACGUGAAAAGAACAUUCUGAGGAACGAGAGGUUGUAUUGUCACUUGUCAACAAAGUGGCAGAGUAUUGCUAUAACAUUUAUAGCCAAAGCUGUUCCAGUUGCCUCAGUGUGUCAUGUCCAUUGUGUACUGACAGUCACCUUUGUCAUGUCUACGCUAGUGGAGGAGAGGGAGGAACAAACCUUGAAUCUUCCAAGUUUAGAGUUUUUAGCAAAGGUUUGAGCGAAGAGUUCAGGUUUAGAGAUAGAUGUGAUAGCAGUGGUGCCAUCUGGUUGAAAUAAAAAAAGGAAAGGAGGAGAAGCAAAGUUAUUAUAGAUGUUUUUGGCUAAGUGCCAGAGGUCACGAGGGAGAGUUAGAUCUUGAAAGGUUUUGACACUUUCUGUUAAUGAAGGAGUUUUUUUUUUUUGGCUAAUUGGAGAACAGACUUGGCAUGGCAGAAAUGUAAAGUGCAUUAGAUUCUGGUGAUGGAAGAAGGCUUAAGCACCUUUGGUGGGCCACCUCUCUAUCAUGUAUAGCACGAGAACAAGCUAUGUUAAACCAAGUUUAACUUUGGAAGGUUUAGGUCGAGAAAAAGAGUGAGGAAUGUACGCCUCCAUGCCAGACACUAUCACCUCUGUUAUGCGCUCAGCCCACAAAGACGGGUCUCUGACACGGAAGCAGUAGUCAUUUUCCAAGGAAAAUCAGCAAAAUACCUCCUCAUGUUCCCCCAACUAGCACAGGCAAAACGCCAGUGGCACCUUCCUUUAGGGGGAUCAUGAGGAGGGAUUGGAGCGAUAGGACAAGAUACAGAUAUGAGAUUGUGAUCGGAGGAGCCCAACGGAGAAGAAAGGGUGACAGCAUAAGCAGAAGGAUUAGAGGUCAGGAAAAAAUCAAGAAUGUUGGGCCUAUCUUCAAGACGGUCAGGAAUACGAGUAAGGUGUUGCACCAAUUGCUUUAGGUCGUGGAGAAUAGCAAAGUCUAAGGCUAGUUCACCAGGAUUGGUCAGUGAAGGGAGAGGAAAGCCAAAGCUGGUGGUGAACAUUGAAGUCAGUCUCCAAGAUUUGAAGUCUCUACAAAAGGGAAGAGAGUCAAUGUGCUCCACUUUGGAAGUUAAGUAGUCAAAAAAUUUUUCAUAGUCAGAGGAGUUAUUUGAGAGGUAUACAGCACAGAUAAAUUUAGUUUGAGAGUGACUCUGUUGUCGUACCCAGGUGGUGGAAAACUCGGAAGAUUCAAGAGAGUGGAAAGCAGGUUAAGUCAUUGCGCACAUGAACACAGCAUCCAGCUUUGGAUCGAAAAUGAGGAUAGAGAAAGUAGGAGGGAACAGAAAAGGGGCUACUGUCAGUUGCCUCAGACAUCUGAGUUUCAGUGACGAAAGGAUGAUGAAGCUUAAUAGAGGAGAGGCAGUGUUCUACAGAUUGAACGCGAAUGUUGCAGAAGUUUAUGAAGAAAAACUGAGAGGGGUAUCAAGACAUUUAGGGUCGUUACCAGAAGAGCAGUCUGACCCGGGGACAAUUGUGGUCCGCUCACCAGAUGGGGUCUCCGAGGCUGGUGUAGGAGUAUGUGUGUAAUAAUUAGGUGCUGGUAGUUGUUUUGUGUGCAGGAAGAGAGAUAUCUCCAUGACUAUAACGUUUGGUACGAUUGAAAACAUCCUUUGGUUUCCACAGAUAUGUACACACUAGUAGUAACAGUUUUCACCUGUAGCACCAGAAACAGUCUUCCUCACACGAACCGUUUCACUGCCGGGACUUGAAGGCUGAUGAAGCAGUGCGGCGGAGGUCACGCCUCUCAGAGUGUUUAUACUUGUUGUCAACACCGCCAUAACUAAUACAAACUCUUUAGUGCAGACAGGCCCACUGGAAGCUGUCAGAGUGCUGUGGCACGUGGCAAGAACCAAGUGUUCAGGAGCACACACUGUCCCUUCACCAGUCAGCAGGUCUGGGCGGCUUGGAAGUCUCACUACAAACUGAAGACCCGUUCACUUGAAGGACACAGUUGGAGUCGGACACAAGAUCCAAGAGGGAGUCAUUUUUAAACGAGAGCUUCAGGCAGAAAAUUCGAGUGGAUUUUCAACUCUAAAAAUAACUUAAUUUUUUUGGGUAUUUUGAACCUUCUUUAUCUUGAAAAAUAACUCCAGAUAUUAUGACUCUAGCUGGAAAUUGACCUGAGCAAUGUAGGGUUUGCUGCAGUGAGAUUACCAAGGCACGAGUGUCUGGGAUUUAAAGAUGAUGGAUAUGUGUCCUGUGUGCUGCUGUGCUGGGAGGAGAGGAGCAGCAGCAGUCGUGGGGCUCUGCUGCUGCUGUCACUGGUGCAGCUGUUCACUCCUGCAGCUACCUUCCCUCAACAUACUGUGUCUUCCCUCACCUGCAAUGAACAACUAUGAACAAUACUUCUCCUCCGAUGAGGAACAGUGAAUAACACCUCUCUCUCUCUCUCUCUCUCUCUCUCUCUCUCUCUCUCUCUCUCUCUCUCUCUCUCUCUCUCUCUCUCUCUCUCUCUCUCUCUCUCUCUCU
Long non-coding RNA from Scylla paramamosain (green mud crab), 2567 nucleotides. RefSeq lists it as uncharacterized. Lineage: Eukaryota; Metazoa; Arthropoda; Malacostraca; Decapoda; Portunidae. The transcript has 3 exons. The record is from RefSeq and is a predicted model, not a curated record.